UNCACAAAUCAAGUGUGCCUGCUUUUGAUGU
This 31-nucleotide non-coding RNA is filed under the name Mus musculus (house mouse). The record is from RNAcentral. Lineage: Eukaryota; Metazoa; Chordata; Mammalia; Rodentia; Muridae.